UAAUACGUAGGGUCCGAGCGUUAUCCGGAUUUACUGGGCGUAAGGGGUUGCUCAGGUGGUUUCUUAAGUCAUAUCUUAAAUAUCGAGGCUCAACCUCGAAGCUGGGUCUGAUACUGGGAGACUAGAGGAAUAGAGAGGAAGGCGGAAUUGCUGGAGGAGCAGUGAAAUGCGUUGAUAUCAGCAAGAACACCAAAGGCGUAGGCAGCCUUCUGGCUAUUUUCUGACACUGAAGCACGAAAGCUAGGGGAGCGAAGCAGAUUAGAGACCUGCGUAGUCCUAGCCGUAAACGAUGGACACUAGAUGGUGGGGGAGUUUUCUCACUGUCGUAAAGCUAACGCGUUAAGUGUCCCGCCUGGGAAGUACGGCCGCAAGGCUA
Molecule: ribosomal RNA, 376 nt
Filed under: uncultured bacterium
Lineage: Bacteria
Description: bacterial SSU rRNA
Rfam family: Bacterial small subunit ribosomal RNA
Source: RNAcentral